UCAAGAUGAAUGAUUUGCUUGGUGAAUACGAUUUAUUCUCUUUCACUCGAACGCUUUCUCUCCAGGCAGGCAACAGUGGGACUUUGCGAUUCCUCGUCACCUUGGUACAGAGGCUCUCUAACCUUUUCUCACUGGAUUUUUCUGGUCCGUUUUCAGGUUGGAGGGUGAGGGUGACAGAAGCUGGGAAAUGAAAGAUGGGAUUGUUUUCUUGUCAUCCUGUAUCCCUGCCACCUGGCGAUGGUGUUUCUGGAGAGUUACCUGGAACUUGAUGGAUCUGUACAGAGGAGAAGACUGAGUUGGGGCAUCGGCAAAGACAGUGUUUCUCCAUGCUCCCGUUAUUCUUCCAGAGCUGUCAGGAGUGGAAAUCAUUUCACCUUUGCACUUAGAAUAAAGCAACUCGGCAUUAACAGUAAAUUGGCUUCGGCAUACUCUUAGAGAAAUUACAACGGAAACGAGAAAUGUUAUGAACCAGAUGCCGAAAAAGUCCCAGUGGCAAGAAUCAGAAGAGGGCACAAAGGUACUCAGAGAUCCCCGCUACAAGUAUAAGAGAAAAUAAAGGCAACAAGAAUGGCACAAAAAACACGUGUAAAACUGAUGAACGUGGCUUUUUCAAGAAGGAUUUGCACAUAAUCAUUAGGCUAUGCGACUAAUGCCAUAGCCUAGGCUGAAUGUGCUUGGGAGUUCCUGAGUUAUGAAAACAAUUAUUAUAUCUUAGAAGUUCUUCUUAGUGUGCUCCUGUGACUGAUUGGCAUAUAGAACACAGAGGUUUCUUUCCUGUUCAUGUAACGCUAUCUUUAUUUUUCUUGCAGUACAAUUAAGAUGUUGCCGUAAUAGACAUAAUGUCUUCCUCAAAUUAAUGAGAUGCUUCCUUUAUGCCCUUGAUUAGGCAAGAAUCUUUCUUUGGCAAAUCAUAUUUUUUUAUGCUGAUAAAAUAGAAAGCUUCUUUAUGAUGCCUUUUAAAAAUAAAUGAAAUUAUUUUUGAGCAUAUGACAAGUUUAUCAUAUUUACUCUUGAAGAGUAAAUAUUUGAAAGUCCCAUGAAAGAGAUGUUUGAAAGUCAGAUAAUAUCCACUGCACAUUAAAAUCUACAUAGAUGAGGCAGAAAAAACUCCACUUAACAAUUUUAAAACAUUUUCCUCCAGUUUGCACCACACAAAAACCUUUAAGAAACUCCUGGCACUUUACACAUGGGUUAUAGCUUAUAUUGCAGUAGGCUUGAGAUUAAACUCAGGGCAUAUAUGGGACAAAUGUAUUUUUCAGAAGGAACUCUAGUUAUGCUGAAUCCUCAUUAAUUUCCAACCAAUUUCUAGUGUUGACUACAUGAGGAAGAUUUCUAUCAGUGAGAGUCAGAGAAAGUCCCUCCAUUGGGAGAGCAUGCACAGGCAGCCUUGUAGAAAUAAAUGAACAGAGUACUUAAUGAAGAAAGACUUCAAUUUUAACUCCAGC
Long non-coding RNA from Homo sapiens (human), 1445 nucleotides. RefSeq lists it as uncharacterized. The record is from RefSeq and is a predicted model, not a curated record. The transcript is spliced from 3 exons. NCBI's taxonomy places the organism in Eukaryota, Metazoa, Chordata, Mammalia, Primates, Hominidae.